RNAcentral lists this ribosomal RNA (159 nucleotides) under uncultured bacterium. RNAcentral describes it as "partial 16S ribosomal RNA". It matches the Rfam family "Bacterial small subunit ribosomal RNA", at positions 355 to 507 of the family's 1533-position model. The record is from RNAcentral.
UGGGGAAUCUUGCGCAAUGGGCGAAAGCCUGACGCAGCGACGCCGCGUGAGGGAAGAAGGCCUUCGGGUUGUAAACCUCUUUCAGGAGGGACGAAGCUACUCGGGUGAAUAGCCCAGAGGGUGACGGUACCUCCAGAAGAAGCCCCGGCUAACUACGUG